AUUACAGAAAACUCGUCCUCAAACUUACAAUUCUAUAUCCUUCAGCCAAAAAAGGAUCCGUAUAACUUAUUCUUUUCAAAGGAAUGUUUGCUGCAUCAAUGUCGCCAUUUUUUGUUAAUCCAAAAAACUCAUUCGUACGACUCGUCAUUCAGAAUUUGAGAUGCUAAGAAAGGAGAAAUAUAAAUCCCGGGUUAAAUGAAUUUCAAAUUAACAGAACAGAUGUUUAGAAAAUGGUAGCAUUCCAUAUCCCCUUAUGAAUAGUGACACGGUAAACGGAAUUGAGAGACUU
Schizosaccharomyces pombe (fission yeast) is the source of this 289-nucleotide non-coding RNA. The record is from the annotation of a GenBank genome assembly. Lineage: Eukaryota; Fungi; Ascomycota; Schizosaccharomycetes; Schizosaccharomycetales; Schizosaccharomycetaceae.